RNAcentral lists this ribosomal RNA (465 nucleotides) under uncultured bacterium. Its description in RNAcentral is "partial 16S ribosomal RNA". It matches the Rfam family "Bacterial small subunit ribosomal RNA", at positions 338 to 795 of the family's 1533-position model. The record is from RNAcentral.
CCUACGGGGGGCAGCAGUAGGGAAUCUUCCACAAUGGGCGAAAGCCUGAUGGAGCAACGCCGCGUGGGUGAAGAAGGUCUUCGGAUCGUAAAACCCUGUUGUUAGAGAAGAAAGUGCGUGAGAGUAACUGUUAACGUUUCGACGGUAUCUAACCAGAAAGCCACGGCUAACUACGUGCCAGCAGCCGCGGUAAUACGUAGGUGGCAAGCGUUAUCCGGAUUUAUUGGGCGUAAAGGGAACGCAGGCGGUCUUUUACGUCUGAUGUGAAAGCCUUCGGCUUAACCGGAGUAGUGCAUUGGAAACUGGGAGACUUGAGUGCAGAAGAGGGGAGUGGAACUCCAUGUGUAGCGGUGAAAUGCGUAGAUAUAUGGAAGAACACCAGUGGCGAAAGCGGCUCUCUGGUCUGUAACUGACGCUGAGGUUCGAAAGCGUGGGUAGCAAACAGGAGUAGAUACCCGAGUAGUC